This 469-nucleotide ribosomal RNA is filed under the name uncultured bacterium. Its description in RNAcentral is "SSU rRNA". It matches the Rfam family "Bacterial small subunit ribosomal RNA", at positions 26 to 518 of the family's 1533-position model. The record is from RNAcentral.
AGGAUAAACGCUGGCGGCGUGCCUAACACAUGCAAGUCGAACGUCUCUUUCUUCGGGAAGAGGAGUGGCGGACGGGUGAGGAACACGUGGGAACCUGCCCUACAGUGAGGAAUACCGGCGAGAAAUCGCCGACAAGACCGCAUAGCCCUCUUUGAUGAGAGUCAAAGAAGGAAAGCUUCGCAAGAGGCGCUAGAGGAGGGGCCUGCGUCCGAUUAGCUAGUUGGUGGGGUAAGAGCCUACCAAGGCGUCGAUCGGUAGCUGGUCUGAGAGGACGAUCAGCCACACUGGGAUUGAGAACGGCCCAGACUCCUACGGGGGGCAGCAGUGAGGAAUUUUCGGCAAUGGGGGAAACCCUGACCGAGCAACGCCGCGUGCAGGAGACGGCCUCGGGUUGUAAACUGCUUUCUUUGGGACGAGGAAGGACGGUACCAGAGGAAUCAGCCCCGGCUCACUACGUGCCAGCAGCCGC